Long non-coding RNA from Eriocheir sinensis (Chinese mitten crab), 1480 nucleotides. RefSeq lists it as uncharacterized. The record is from RefSeq and is a predicted model, not a curated record. The transcript is spliced from 6 exons. Lineage: Eukaryota; Metazoa; Arthropoda; Malacostraca; Decapoda; Varunidae.
UCGUGAGCCACUACCGGUUCCUCCGGCAUUAUUUGAUUGAGCUCAUCCAGGAGGUUCAGCCUGCCCUAAGGAGGAGGACAAGGAGGUCAUAUGCAAUACCGCCACACACACAAGUUUUGGUGACCUUAAGACUGUUAGCCAGCGGUUCCUUUCAGCACGUCAUAGGCGACGUAUGCGGACUUGCACAGGGCAGUGUCAGCCGUGUAGUCCAGGACGUGACAGCUGUGUUGAGUGACAUAGCUCGACAAGAGAUAAAAAUGACCUCCACGAUGCAUGCAUUGAUGGAAUCGGCAACAGCUUUUGCAAGAGUUCGGAGUUUCCCUCGGGUUAUUGGUGCCAUUGAUUGUACUCAUAUUUCCAUUAAGGCACCCCAUGAAAAUGAGGCUGCCUACGUGAACAGGAAGAGGUACCACUCUUUCAACAUCCAAGUUGUGUGUGAUGCUGCUGGUAUGAUCAUCAGCUAUUGUGUCAUUUCCAGGUAAGUGUUCCUUAUUGAUGAUAUCAUUUAUUGUUAGGCAUGUUAAUAGUUAAAUCACAAACAUCCCUUACCUGCUACAGCAUUUCUAAAGUUUGAUUUUUAGCAAGAAUAAUUGCAGAUUAGCUAUUUAGGCAAUGGAACUUGAGCAUUUGAAGAUGCUAAGACUCCACCAGUGUUGGGCACACCAAACAUGCUACAGCUUUUCUCUUGAGUCUGGUAUUUUUUUCCAGUAUUAACAUGUCCAUGUUUUGGAAUCCUUUUUUUUAUUCUCCCCUUUUUAGCAGGGUCAAAUCACGACUCCUUCAUCUGGCACCAUUGCGACCUAUAUGAACGCUUUCGCAGGGGUGAGUUUGGGGACUACCUGCUCCUUGGCGACAGCGGCUAUGCAUUAGAGCCAUUUUUGAUGACUCCAGUCCGCAACCCCACAACAGAACCGGAGGAGCGCUACAAUAGGGCCCAUACACGGACACGUGUCGUUGUGGAGCAAACCUUUGGAAUACUAAAGAGCCGGUUCAGGUGCCUUCACAAAUCUGGGGUGCCUUGCAGUAUGCUCCCAUGAAGUGCCUCAACAUCAUCACCUCAUGUUUACUGCUGCACAACCGCUGUGUCCAGCGGGGUAUUCCACUUCCCCAGCGGGUACAAAUUUAUAUUUCGCUUGAAGAGGAUGAGGAAGAGCAGGAUGCUCCUACUGCUGUUCUUGGAGCAGCUGCUGGCCGAGGAGCUGGAAGAGCAGUACGUGAAGCAAUAAUUGCUAAUUUCUUUGGGUGAAAUGGUGAGGUGUGUAUUUUAUCGGUCACUCUUGAGUAAGAGCUCAGUAAGUUUGUCACACAUGAGUCCCCUUUUCUGGAAUCCAUACUGUUUACUUGUUAUUAAAUUAUGCUCUUCUAGAAAUCUCGUCUAUUGUUUCUUUAUCACUUUUUCACAUAUUUUACAUAGUACACUGGUCAAUUACACGGGUCUGUAGUUCAGGGGUUCUUCCUUUCUUCCACUUUUGUAUAUAGG